Long non-coding RNA from Tigriopus californicus, 667 nucleotides. RefSeq lists it as uncharacterized. The transcript has 2 exons. NCBI's taxonomy places the organism in Eukaryota, Metazoa, Arthropoda, Copepoda, Harpacticoida, Harpacticidae. The record is from RefSeq and is a predicted model, not a curated record.
GGGAGGAGCAGAAGCACCCAUGAAGUCCCCAAGCCAGUUUGCGUCCCUAGUUUGAGGGUAUAAUUGAAAUAAUUGGGCUUCACAGAGGGGUCAAUACUGUCAGCAUCAGAAGUUCAAGCCGGACCUCUUCGACGAAUGCUCUCUUUCGGACUCUCAUGACGUGGUUCAAAAGGGCUGCUCCAAAUCAAGAUAAAACAUACUUAAUCAAGUGUUAUCAACACGUUAAUCCGUCUGGCUUGUCCUCGACUCCACACAAGCUAGCUAAAGUUUCAUACACAAUUCUGGAGGGCAUUCAAAUUUGAUACACCCUGUGGUUUGAAAUGGUCCUUUGUUGACGGAGUCAGUGGAUCCUCCCGACACUUGUGGCAGCAGGGAUCAAGACAUAUAAAGUUAAAAUUGGAUGACUUCUCUCUCUCUCUCUCUCUCCCCUUCUUUCUUCCUUCGGCCAUUCUCGUCGCUCAUGAAACGAGUGAGUCCCUCAAAAUUUAGCCGCGUUACUCCAUUGAGCUCGAGGUGCCUUUCAGAGGAAACCUUUCCACGCCUACUCUGCUGGUCGCGUAAUCUGAAUCUAUUCCGAACUACUGUUUACAUCAUCUGAGAUAUUGCGCAUCUUUAAAAAAAUGAUUUAUUUAUUUUUUUCAUUUUGAACAACAAUCCCCAACUCCCA